Molecule: long non-coding RNA, 249 nt
Organism: Oreochromis niloticus (Nile tilapia)
Lineage: Eukaryota; Metazoa; Chordata; Actinopteri; Cichliformes; Cichlidae
Exons: 3
Source: RefSeq, a predicted model, not a curated record
AGAAGAAGAAGAAGAAGACGCAGAGUUCCCGCUUCAUUGCGUUUGUGUUUUAGUUUAUUUUUCUUCCUCAUCUAAAGUGAAGCACUAAGCUGAUCAGCAGGAGGAGAAGAGUCUGACGGAGCAGCAGAGGAACAUUUAAGCUACUUGGACUCAACUCAGCUACUGUGGAGAAAACAAUGAGUUCGACACAGAAGGACCAACAUGGACCGAGAAGUCAGCGCUCUCAGGAGGCCGACAAACCUCACAGAA